This 407-nucleotide ribosomal RNA is filed under the name uncultured bacterium. Its description in RNAcentral is "partial 16S ribosomal RNA". It matches the Rfam family "Bacterial small subunit ribosomal RNA", at positions 30 to 526 of the family's 1533-position model. The record is from RNAcentral.
AUUGAACGCUGGCGGCAUGCCUAACACAUGCAAGUCGAGCGGAGCGGCGGACGGGUGAGUAAUGCCUAGGAAUCUGCCUGGUAGUGGGGGAUAACGUCCGGAAACGGGCGCUAAUACCGCAUACUAUCAAAUCAGCCUAGGUCGGCUCAGCUAGUGGGUGGGGGAAAGGCCUACCAAGGCGACGAUCCGUAACUGGUCUGAGAGGGUGAUCAGUCACACUGUGACUGAGGCACGGUACAGACUCCUACGGGAGGCAGCAGUGGGGAAUAUUGGGCAAUGGGCGAACGCCUGAUCGAGCGAGGCCGCGUGUGUGAAGAAGGUCUUCGGAUUGUAAAGCACUUUAAGUUGGGAGGCGGUACCAACAGAGUAAGCAACGGCUAACGUCGUGCCAGCGGCCGCGGUAAUAC